AUCCAGAUGACGAAUCACAAAUAGGAAGAAACGCGCGUCCUGGAU
This 45-nucleotide non-coding RNA is filed under the name Schistosoma mansoni. Lineage: Eukaryota; Metazoa; Platyhelminthes; Trematoda; Strigeidida; Schistosomatidae. The record is from RNAcentral.